GACAGAGGGUGCAAACGUUGUUCGGAAUUACUGGGCGUAAAGGGCGCGUAGGCGGAUAUCUAAGUCGGGGGUGAAAGCCCAGGGCUCAACCCUGGAAUUGCCUUCGAUACUGGAUAUCUUGAGUACGGGAGAGGUGAGUGGAACUCCGAGUGUAGAGGUGAAAUUCGUAGAUAUUCGGAAGAACACCAGUGGCGAAGGCGACUCACUGGCCCGUUACUGACGCUGAGGCGCGAAAGCGUGGGGAGCAAACAGG
Molecule: ribosomal RNA, 253 nt
Filed under: uncultured bacterium
Lineage: Bacteria
Description: partial 16S ribosomal RNA
Rfam family: Bacterial small subunit ribosomal RNA
Source: RNAcentral